AUUGAACGCUGGCGGCAGGCCUAACACAUGCAAGUCGAACGGUAACAGGAAGAAGCUUGCUUCUUUGCUGACGAGUGGCGGACGGGUGAGUAAUGUCUGGGAAACUGCCUGAUGGAGGGGGAUAACUACUGGAAACGGUAGCUAAUACCGCAUAACGUCGCAAGACUAAAGAGGGGGACCUUCGGGCCUCUUGCCAUCGGAUGUGCCCAGAUGGGAUUAGCUAGUAGGUGGGGUAACGGCUCACCUAGGCGACGAUCCCUAGCUGGUCUGAGAGGAUGACCAGCCACACUGGAACUGAGACACGGUCCAGACUCCUACGGGAGGCAGCAGUGGGGAAUAUUGCACAAUGGGCGCAAGCCUGAUGCAGCCAUGCCGCGUGUAUGAAGAAGGCCUUCGGGUUGUAAAGUACUUUCAGCGGGGAGGAAGGGAGUAAAGUUAAUACCUUUACUCAUUGACGUUACCCGCAGAAGAAGCACCGGCUAACUCCGUG
RNAcentral lists this ribosomal RNA (490 nucleotides) under uncultured bacterium. RNAcentral describes it as "partial 16S ribosomal RNA". It matches the Rfam family "Bacterial small subunit ribosomal RNA", at positions 30 to 507 of the family's 1533-position model. The record is from RNAcentral.